GAUGAAGAACGCAGCGAAAUGCGAUACGUAAUGUGAAUUGCAAAUUCAGUGAAUCAUCGAGUCUUUGAACGCACAUUGCGCCCCCUGGUAUUCCGGGGGGCAUGCCUGUCCGAGCGUCAUUGCUGCCCUCAAGCACGGCUUGUGUGUUGGGCCCCGUCCUCCGAUCCCGGGGGACGGGCCCGAAAGGCAGCGGCGGCACCGCGUCCGGUCCUCGAGCGUAUGGGGCUUUGUCACCCGCUCUGUAGGCCCGGCCGGCGCUUGCCGAUCAACCCAAAUUUUUAUCCAGGUUGACCUCGGAUCAUGUAGGGAUACCCGCUGAACUUAAGCAUAUCAAUAAGCGGAGGA
RNAcentral lists this unclassified non-coding RNA (345 nucleotides) under soil metagenome. Its description in RNAcentral is "partial contains 5.8S ribosomal RNA, internal transcribed spacer 2, and large subunit ribosomal RNA". The stretch from base 1 to 119 matches the Rfam family "5.8S ribosomal RNA", at positions 35 to 154 of the family's 154-position model. The record is from RNAcentral.